UAAGCUGAUGUAUUUUAUCAGUUUUCGCGGUUUUCAUCCGGUAUAAAGUCUAAAAAACCAGUGUCGAACUUUCGACGGUUUUACCUGUGGAAUUCUGUCGAAAAUUCUACAUCCACUUGAAUCAUCACCAAACAGUCAGAAAAACGCCUAGUUUCGUGAUUAAAAGCGUAGGGUGAACUGGAUCGAACCUUUAUUUCAUUAAAUCAUUAUAAUUUUAGCGUAUUUUUAAUCAACUGUAACCGAUUAAUUGCAUUGUAGCUCAAGCGGUGGCAGAAAGCGCGGUUUUUUUCGGUAUCACAGCUGGAGCUGGCAGAGAGCCGCGCCCACUCUAGCAAAACAUAAUUCAAGUAGCCGGCUCGCGCAAUGUAUAUUUUUACGUGUUCCGUCCACCUGCUGACGGUCUCAGGUAAAGUCAGGCUACCCUGAGCCUGAGCAGCGUGGGAAGAGAGAGUUCUGCGUGUCUGUUGUGCGCCAGAGAGCAUAUGUGAGCGAUUGAAGCUGUACACAUUCACAUCCUUCCUGAUGUUCAUGACGGAUAUGUGACAGGCGGACAACGUCAGACAGACAUUUUGGUCUAAGCGGGCGCGAGAUUCAGCGGCAGAAAAAUUAUUUAAGCGGAAGAAAUCGGCCUCGGACGCCCUUCGAACCUUAUCAUUUAUGGUUGGGAAGCAUCAGUUUUGAUUUGAGACCUGGGACAUUGGAGAGUGGCCGGCGAGGAUGACGUCGUGUUCGAAAACUUAUAAUUUAUUUUCUUGCAUAUUAUGGAGUUUUCAUCUGAUUCAUCAUAUUUGUCUUAUUUUAUAACUUCCAGUCGAAUCAUGUAUUUUUCGCAUUUCAUUUUGCAUUUCUGCUAUUUAAUAUUGUUAACCUUAUCGUAGUUAAUUUUUUCUGGAAGUUUUUAACUGACGCGUUCUUUUUAAUCUUCUUCCUAUUGUUCGUAAUAUAUUUAUGAUGGCAUUCAUGCAGUGAAAUUUUGUUUACCUGCUGAGGUAUCAAAAUAAGCAGCAUUUUAAUUGGUUAAUUUAAUAUUUAAGUUAUUUAGAGCAAAAAACUUUACACGUUCAAUCAAUUCAAAAUAAUAUCUGAUAUAAUAGAUAGUGGUAUUCCAAGUUUCGAAGCUCAGGAAUAGGGGCGUUCUCAAUUUUCGUUUGUUAAAAAAAUCUCCGAUGAACGAAAUUUGUUAAUUAAAGCUGCACUAACUCUUAACUACGUAGAGAUAUCGCACUAGAAUUGUCACUGCCCAGCCUAGUUUUCGAUCUUAAACAACUUUUACAUUUGCAAACACUUCGCAGGUCGAAGGUCAAGGUCACCUUUCGCAACCUUUUCUCGGAAAUUCAAAAUUUAUGGUUUAUAUCUCCCUUAGAUUUUUGUGAGGUUUAGGGCCUAAAUGUAGUCCGUGAAAUUCUGCACAAAGCUCACCAAGUUUCAUAGUUGUAAUGCCGACAGUUUUGCUGCAAUUGGAAUUUUAAAAUUAAAAACCAGCUCGAGGCCGCUCGACCGCGCA
Molecule: long non-coding RNA, 1504 nt
Organism: Cloeon dipterum
Lineage: Eukaryota; Metazoa; Arthropoda; Insecta; Ephemeroptera; Baetidae
Exons: 3
Source: RefSeq, a predicted model, not a curated record